GAGUUUGAUCCUGGCUCAGGAUGAACGCCGGCGGUGUGCCUAAUACAUGCAAGUCGUACGCACUGGCCCAACUGAUUGAUGGUGCUUGCACCUGAUCGACGAUGGAUCACCAGUGAGUGGCGGACGGGUGAGUAACACGUAGGUAACCUGCCCUGUACGGGGGAUAACAAUCAGAAAUGACUGCUAAUACCGCAUAAGACCACAGCACCGCAUGGUGCAGGGGUAAAAACUCCGGUGGUACAGGAUGGACCCGCGUCUGAUUAGCUGGUUGGUGAGGUAACGGCUCACCAAGGCGACGAUCAGUAGCCGGCUUGAGAGAGUGAACGGCCACAUUGGGACUGAGACACGGCCCAAACUCCUACGGGAGGCAGCAGUGGGGAAUAUUGCACAAUGGGGGAAACCCUGAUGCAGCAACGCCGCGUGAGUGAAGAAGUAUUUCGGUAUGUAAAGCUCUAUCAGCAGGGAAGAAAGUGACGGUACCUGACUAAGAAGCCCCGGCUAACUACGUCG
RNAcentral lists this ribosomal RNA (510 nucleotides) under uncultured microorganism. RNAcentral describes it as "bacterial SSU rRNA". It matches the Rfam family "Bacterial small subunit ribosomal RNA", at positions 9 to 508 of the family's 1533-position model. The record is from RNAcentral.